Molecule: ribosomal RNA, 434 nt
Filed under: uncultured Clostridium sp.
Lineage: Bacteria; Bacillati; Bacillota; Clostridia; Eubacteriales; Clostridiaceae
Description: bacterial SSU rRNA
Rfam family: Bacterial small subunit ribosomal RNA
Source: RNAcentral
ACGGAAGGCAGCAGUGGGGAAUAUUGCACAAUGGGGGAAACCCUGAUGCAGCAACGCCGCGUGAGUGAUGACGGUCUUCGGAUUGUAAAGCUCUGUCUUUGGGGACGAUAAUGACGGUACCCAAGGAGGAAGCCACGGCUAACUACGUGCCAGCAGCCGCGGUAAUACGUAGGUGGCGAGCGUUGUCCGGAUUUACUGGGCGUAAAGGGAGCGUAGGCGGAUUCUUAAGUGGGAUGUGAAAUACCCGGGCUUAACCUGGGUGCUGCAUUCCAAACUGGGAAUCUAGAGUGCAGGAGGGGAGAGUGGAAUUCCUAGUGUAGCGGUGAAAUGCGUAGAGAUUAGGAAGAACACCAGUGGCGAAGGCGACUCUCUGGACUGUAACUGACGCUGAGGCUCGAAAGCGUGGGGAGCAAACAGGAUUAGAUACCCUGGUA